AUUGAACGCUGGCGGAAUGCUUUACACAUGCAAGUCGAACGGCAGCACGGACUUCGGUCUGGUGGCGAGUGGCGAACGGGUGAGUAAUGUAUCGGAACGUGCCCAGUCGUGGGGGAUAACGUAGUGAAAAUUACGCUAAUACCGCAUACGAUCCAUGCAUGAAAGCGGGGGAUCGGAAGACCUCGCGCCAUUGGAGCGGCCGAUAUGAGAUUAGGUAGUUGGUGGGGUAAAGGCCCACCAAGCCAACGAUGUGUAGCUGGUCUGAGAGGACGACCAGCCACACUGGAACUGAGACACGGUCCAGACUCCUACGGGAGGCAGCAGUGGGGAAUUUUGGACAAUGGGCGAAAGCCUGAUCCAGCCAUUCCGCGUGCAGGAUGAAGGCCCUCGGGGUGUAAACUGCUUUUGUACAGAACGAAAAGGUUUCUACUAAUACUAGGGGCUCAUGACGGUACUGUAAGAAUAAGCACCGGCUAACUACGUGCCAGCCGCCGCCGUAA
RNAcentral lists this ribosomal RNA (500 nucleotides) under uncultured bacterium. Its description in RNAcentral is "partial 16S ribosomal RNA". It matches the Rfam family "Bacterial small subunit ribosomal RNA", at positions 30 to 523 of the family's 1533-position model. The record is from RNAcentral.